This is a long non-coding RNA of Bombus terrestris (buff-tailed bumblebee), 3454 nucleotides long. RefSeq lists it as uncharacterized. NCBI's taxonomy places the organism in Eukaryota, Metazoa, Arthropoda, Insecta, Hymenoptera, Apidae. The transcript is spliced from 3 exons. The record is from RefSeq and is a predicted model, not a curated record.
UUAACGGGCGUUUAUUGCAGUAUAAGAUAUCGGGAAUUUAAACGAGUGAUGUAACACCGCUCGCUUCAAAGCUUUGUAAAUACAAAUGGUCUUCGAGUGUUUGUGGCUCUUCUUUAUGUACGUAAUUUGAACAAGUGUUCCAUCUCUAUUUGAGGCUACAUUUACGUAAUGCCAACGUAAUUUUUUUCAUAAUAGCUUGUAUCUCAUCGUUCGUACAUAGGUAGCAAUGCUCGUUCAUCAAUUUUAACACUUGACUAACCGCUAGCGGUUCAAGAGCAUACGAACAUCCGAUCGGCAGCUCAGGCGCAGAUUCUCCCUGGCGCCGGCUCUGUUUCGGUUUAGACUCUCCAAUACCAUUCUUUUCGUUCAUCGCGAACGGAAAUUUGAAAGUGCAAAAUUACAUAGACUACGCAUAAUAUGAAAAAAUAUGUAAAACAUCCAAAGUAUAGUGCUUUGUAUACUUGAUAGGUAAAAGAAUUUUCAAACGAAGUUUUACUGUUUUAAAUAUCUUCUUAAAAAUAUGAAUUUGGACAAAAAUUCAAGGUAUAGUCUUAAGAUAUCUUGUCUAUAAGUGUGGAACAGUAAAAUUUUUCUAAAAAUAAAUUUUAUUGAUAGGAAUGUACCUUGAACAGCAAACAGGCCGUUACUAGACACCUCUCCGAAAUUAUUGCGAACGAGGCAAGUAUACUCGCCAGCAUCUUGUGGACAAACAUUGGAUAAUCUUAGUGCGACGCCACCGUCACCAUAUAUGACGUAUUUAUGGUAAUCGUUGUCAGGUAUCUCACGACCAUCCUUUAACCAAGUCACCGAAAAAGGCGGUGUACCUGAAAAACAUGAUUUAAUGCUCGUUGAAUUAUAUAAUCAACCAUUUAUAUUAAUCGAUGCAAUUGAUUUCAUCCCUUAAAAGUCGAAAGAAUUCACGGGAGAUGUAGUUGCUCAGAAGUUGCACCGGUCGACUCCAUAAAUUGAGAAAUAGAGAAAACUCACGACACUAAUUUAGUUUGGAGUUUGCGAUUAUUUACUAUAUCUUCCAGCGAUAAAUAAACUUAUAGAAACAAAUAAUUCUUUUUUUGAGAAAUUGAACGUUAAUCAUAUGCAAUCAGGAAAUGAAAAGAAAUUUACAAAAAAAAAAAAAAAAAAAAAAAAAAAAAAAAAAAAAAAAAAAAAAUGGAGUUGCUUAGUUUGGCUUCAGAAGAAGCUCGUGACAAAAGAUGGAAAGCAACAAAAAUUAUACAAUAGUUUACGAUAAGUGCUAACUUAUACUGUUCGUUGAGCUAACAUUAUUUUUAUGUUUACUAUACCCGCAAGUCUCGCCUGUAGUUCGUAACAGUGACCUUCCAUGACAAUCGAUUCUUCUGGAAGAGAUUGUAAGAAUUUCGGUGGAUCUUUGUCGCACGUAGACGGAUUAUGAGAAUCAAGAACGGUCACCUGUUAUCGAAGAAACAAUUACGAAAAUAAUUAUUUCCCAUUGCAGGACGGUAAUGUCGAGUUGAGAAACGAAUAGAAUCCAGAAGCGUAUGUCUAUGCCACGUGGUUAGCGUAUGUCUAAGAUUAUUUACCUGACAAGAAUUCUUUGUAGAACCAAGGACGUUCGUUGCCACGCAGGUGUACUCACCCGCGUCGCUCGCUUUCACUUUCAAAAUUUCGACUUUCGCAGUUGUCCCGUCGAAGUACCUUUUUACUCGAAUCGAUCGUUCCAACGGGCGUCCAUUUCUGGAAAUUUGAUCCUUUGAUACUUUAUGCUUUGAAUAAAUUGCAAUUAUAAAUUAGAUACGUAAACACAACAUGGAAACUAUGCUACGAGUUUUUAAAGCUUCCUCUCUUCCGUCGACGCGAUUUGUCUUUGAAAUAGGAACAGUGGAAGUCCUAUUCUAAAUGAGUAAAGUGUAAUAAAUUCUGUGAAAAGUUCUACAGGAUUCGAGCUCGAUGUACAAAUCGUUAGAUGAUCGGCUAUUGUCGUAAGACCUUUUAGACGCUCCGAGAUUUAUGAUUACGUUAUUUGCUACAUGAAACACGCGUGAAAAACUAAAAUGCAUCUCUAAAUCUAAACGAAUCAGAAAUAGAUAAAUCACAGAAAAAGUUCAAAAAGUCUGUACUUGUAAAAAAAUGGCAAUUGUUCAGACAUAAUUGUGCAUUGGAAGACUUUGAUAAAAAUGAUUAUGUAAUAAUGUCGCAGAAGGGAACUUUCUUUGUUUUACCUGAACCACGUUGGUGUUAGACUAGGCGUUCCUCUAAUACCGCAAUCGAGAUAUAAUCUUCCGUUUAUUCUGCUAGUUGUGUCUAAGAGGCUUCGGCUAAAAGAUGGAUACGUUCUAGGCGAUGCGCUCCUAGUUCUGAUUGUUCUGGCAACCGACCCAAGUAAUUGACGAUCUUUUUGAACAAAUUAUCAAAAUUGUAAGAAUGAAAUAACAGGUAAUCCUGUUCAGUUUUUCGAAUGUUUGUGUAAAAAGGAAAUGCUCAUUUUUCUUGUAACUUAAAUUAACGUAUACUAAUAACUACUUACGAUAUAUUUGAGUAGAAAAUUGCUAAUUUAUCUGAUAAUGUCAUAUCAGCAAGUUUGCCGUAAUUUAAAGAAUACGAUAAAAUAUAAUCUCAAUUUACAUACUAAUUAUUUCCAGGCGGGCACUGGCUUCGAUACGACCAUAAUCAUUCUCCACGAUCACUCUGUACAGUCCUGCGUCUUCUUGGGUCACUUCGACGAUUUCCAAUAUCUUUACGUCGUCUCUUUCCUUUAUCGAGAUUCUAGCAGUCGGCGUGACAAUUAUGCCAUUUUUGUCCCAUUUCACCCAUGGUGACGGGUGGCCAACUACAGCACAUUGGAAUCGCACGGUUUCCCCUUCCUCGACCACGCGAUUGUGCGGAACUGCGUAAAAUUUCGGUGGACUGAUCUUUGGCCGUCUUGACAUCGACCUACUUCGUGGAAGAAGCUGCGGAGACCUUAAUUCUCGACCAUCUCAUUCAACGCAAGAGUUUGGUCACCAUCGUUUGAGUCAACGUGAAUUUUGUUGUUAGGCCAGAUAUAUUUAGGAAAAUUAAAUUAACCCGUAAUUGCUACGAUGAGAAUAAAUAAUUGAAAGGACAAAGAUGGAUACAUAAAAUAAUAAAAAAAGGUUAGUAUUAUGGGGUUAUAGUUGUUACUUUAUUUAAAUUAUCCUUAUGUAACUAUUUUAGUUAAAUCAUACCAUUAAUACGUACUUGUAUGUACAACACUCGACAAGUUAUCAUGGAAAUAAAAAUUGCAGGAGUCUGACAAACUUCAUUUUACCAAUUACGAGUUAAACCUUUCCGAAAGUUUAUUGUUUUAUUAUAUUAGUAAUUUAUUAUUAUUAUUUCACACGAUUUAUUCUUUUUACGCUUACGCGAAACUGCGGGAGAUAAACUCCUGAUCGGUGUUGAGCGUGGCGUCGACCUCGGCGUCGAUCCGGCCGAUAGAAGUCCUGCGGGCCUCGUUAAU